RNAcentral lists this ribosomal RNA (497 nucleotides) under uncultured bacterium. RNAcentral's name for it is "partial 16S ribosomal RNA". It matches the Rfam family "Bacterial small subunit ribosomal RNA", at positions 28 to 507 of the family's 1533-position model. The record is from RNAcentral.
GAUGAACGCUGGCGGCGUGCCUAAUACAUGCAAGUCGAGCGAACAGACGAGGAGCUUGCUCCUUUGACGUUAGCGGCGGACGGGUGAGUAACACGUAGGUAACCUACCUAUAAGACUGGGAUAACUUCGGGAAACCGGAGCUAAUACCGGAUAAUAUUUCGAACCGCAUGGUUCGAUAGUGAAAGAUGGCUUUGCUAUCACUUAUAGAUGGACCUGCGCCGUAUUAGCUAGUUGGUAAGGUAACGGCUUACCAAGGCAACGAUACGUAGCCGACCUGAGAGGGUGAUCGGCCACACUGGAACUGAGACACGGUCCAGACUCCUACGGGAGGCAGCAGUAGGGAAUCUUCCGCAAUGGGCGAAAGCCUGACGGAGCAACGCUGCGUGAGUGAUGAAGGUCUUCGGAUCGUAAAACUCUGUUAUUAGGGAAGAACAAACGUGUAAGUAACUGUGCACGUCUUGACGGUACCUAAUCAGAAAGCCACGGCUAACUACGUG